RNAcentral lists this long non-coding RNA (418 nucleotides) under Bos taurus (domestic cattle). Its description in RNAcentral is "long non-coding RNA NONBTAT025551". Lineage: Eukaryota; Metazoa; Chordata; Mammalia; Artiodactyla; Bovidae. The record is from RNAcentral.
GUGCUGGAUAAGAGAUGCUUUUAGCAGAGUACCACUAGGUUAGCUCAGUGGUUAUACUCAAUGAUGAUCAUUUGAGGAUAUGCACAGCCUUAGUAAUUAGACCUUCAUGGGGGAUUUUGAUGUGUUGUGUAUUUCAUAUUACCAUGGACCAUUUCUGUAUCUUUGUGCCUUAAUGGUGGGGAAAAUCCUGGGCAAGUUUUUCAUGCUGGGACUAGUUAUGGAACUUGUCACAGAGCUCUGGGUAGGGGGAUUAGGGCCACCUCUCCACAUUGGGUCAAGGAACUUGUAACUGGGGCUCUGGUGUGGGAAAGGCCCAGAAAUUAGAGACUUACUCUCAUCAGUAAGGGUGCUUACUCUCAUCAGUAAGUGCCCAGCUCUGCUUUAGGACAUACAGUGAGAUGUAGCAUCCUUAACUAUC